CGUCUGUGCUGAGGUGUAGCCCCACCCAUCUAUGGCCCCUCUGUGUCUCUGGGGGAAGGAGGCCUGGCACCCCCCACUUCUGCUCCAAGUCUUCCACCCUACAACAGAUGUUUGUGACUCAAACUGGGAAGAGCCAGGGGACCACCAGUGCAGAAGAGAUGACUCUUGAGAAGCUAAGUGAGGAGGCAUCUCUGCAGAUGAAGACAUGUGGGGAGGAACAGCAGCUGGUGGGGGACAUGGAUGGCUUUCUCCCAGAGGGUAUGACGCAAAGGGUUCUCCAGCAGAUAUCCUUGUACAAUUUCACCAUGACACCUAG
This is a long non-coding RNA of Erinaceus europaeus (western European hedgehog), 316 nucleotides long. RefSeq lists it as uncharacterized. Lineage: Eukaryota; Metazoa; Chordata; Mammalia; Eulipotyphla; Erinaceidae. The transcript has 3 exons. The record is from RefSeq and is a predicted model, not a curated record.